AAUUGGAAUCAAUUGUUCAUAUCCCGGUUCUAGCUUGAACAAAACUUAAAGAACUAACUUCUGUUAAAACUACUGUGCAAUAAAUAAAUGAUAUUAAAACGCAAUUCAAAUAAGUUGUGUAUGAUUUAUAGAGUCGUAAAUUUAAAAUAUAUUAUGUUUAUGCAAUGCAAUGUAUUUGAAAAGUGCAUUUUGUUUUAUUUUAUUUAUUGCUUAUAAAGCAUACGGGUUUAUAAUGCCAAAUGCUUUGGAAACAGAGCAAACUUCCUUCUUCGGGUUCACACAUGAGGUAAGGAUUAGCUCCAGUACAAUGGAACUGGUUGAGGAGUUGGAAGAGGCACUAUUUGAACAUUCGGAAGGCGAUCGCCAGGUGAGGCGAUAUUUUGACGCCUACGACACGCCAUUUGUUGGAGAAGAGAGGAGAAAAUCUAGUUUUAAUAAUGAUUAAAUAACAACACUUA
Long non-coding RNA from Pieris rapae (cabbage white), 458 nucleotides. RefSeq lists it as uncharacterized. The transcript has 2 exons. NCBI's taxonomy places the organism in Eukaryota, Metazoa, Arthropoda, Insecta, Lepidoptera, Pieridae. The record is from RefSeq and is a predicted model, not a curated record.